This 1136-nucleotide long non-coding RNA is filed under the name Malus domestica (apple). RNAcentral's name for it is "long non-coding RNA (MDOM_LNC015426)". Lineage: Eukaryota; Viridiplantae; Streptophyta; Magnoliopsida; Rosales; Rosaceae. The record is from RNAcentral.
UGUCCAAAAUAUUUUGUACGUGACAUGCAGUUUGCAUACAAAGUAUUAGUUUUAAUAUUUGUGCUUAUGUGUGUGUGUGUGUAUAUAUAUAUGUAUGUAUGUAAGUAUAUGUAUAUAAUUUAUAUAAAGAGGGAGUCAGAAGAUGUAUGACUGGAAAUAUACAUGGCAUUAGGAGUGAUCAAAGAAUUUGUUCAAGUACGUGGAGUUUAGUUAUUACGGUAGUAGCAUAUCUUUGUUUUAGCUUUGGAAUCGAGGUAAGGUUUUCUUGAGAAACUUAUUAUUAUUGGGUAUCUAUUUUGUUUAAACCUUGUGAAAUAUGUGUUACACUUGAUGUAUCUUUAUAAUUGAUAAUAUGUGUAUUUAGAAUAUGAUAUUCAUAUUACUGUUAUUGCCGAUAAUAUGGAUAUUGAAAUAAUGUUGAUUAUAUGCAUAUCAUUUCAUACUAAAGCAGAUGAAUUUUAUUGGUUUAUUCGAGAAUGAGAUAUGGAAAUGGAAAUAUUCUUUUGUGUAGUUGUUCGACUUUCGUAGGUACCAACAAGGGUGGCAAAAAUGAAAUUAUGGGCAUGGUAUGAAGUAGUGGGGACUAUGGCGACCGAGAGAAGAACACGAUGACUAACAAAAUGGGUACUUGGGAUGAUUGAGUUAUGGGGGUUAAUUUUUAUAAUAGAGUAUCCAGACCACCGCUACAGUGGAAAAAAUGCAUCGUAUGAGACGUGCAGGUCCGUAUGCUUGAUGCGAAAAUUUUCUUAACACACAAAUUAAACCCUCUUGUUGUCAAAUUGUAGUAUAAAUGCAAGUAGGGAUCGUUCUAAACCGGGGAUUAGGAGGGCUUGCUAAAACAUCUAAACUGACUUAAAAACAUAUAAACAAAGUUAAAAACACUAAACUAGACUCAAAGAACUUAAAACAAACUCAAAGGACUCAAAACAAGCUAAAAACGCUCAAAUCUGCCUAAAAACACAAACUGGGUAGAUUUGGACUCUAACACACUUUUGGGACACCUAAAAACACAAAUCAAAAUAGAUUUUGACUAAUAAAACACUUUAAAGUAAAGGGGGUUUUGGUGUUGACGAAUUUGAAAACAAAACAAGUAAAUUAAAGAACUAAUGAAAUCUGCACGAAUUUGAGUAAAUUGA